UUGCUUAUAUGGCAGGGGAGGUUCCACGCUCAAGAAUGUGGUCCUUCGAGGCCGAGGCUCCGCAUUUCGGUCGGGCUGACUGCUGCGAAUUCCUCAAACGGGGGAAUCUCGACCGCAUAACCUCUGAAAUUGGGAGACGCAGUCACACUCUCCUU
This is a small nuclear RNA of 155 nucleotides. Its record names the gene U1. It matches the Rfam family "U1 spliceosomal RNA". From Rfam's summary of the family: U1 is a small nuclear RNA (snRNA) component of the spliceosome (involved in pre-mRNA splicing). Its 5' end forms complementary base pairs with the 5' splice junction, thus defining the 5' donor site of an intron. There are significant differences in sequence and secondary structure between metazoan and yeast U1 snRNAs, the latter being much longer (568 nucleotides as compared to 164 nucleotides in human). The record is from Ensembl.